Molecule: transfer RNA, 72 nt
Filed under: Marmota monax (woodchuck)
Lineage: Eukaryota; Metazoa; Chordata; Mammalia; Rodentia; Sciuridae
Description: tRNA.Ala
Source: RNAcentral
GGAUUGUGGCUCAGUGGUAGAGCACUUUCCUAGCAUGUGUGAGGGAGGCACUGGGUUCAAUUCUCAGCACCA